Molecule: ribosomal RNA, 256 nt
Filed under: uncultured Geobacteraceae bacterium
Lineage: Bacteria; Pseudomonadati; Thermodesulfobacteriota; Desulfuromonadia; Geobacterales; Geobacteraceae
Description: partial 16S ribosomal RNA
Rfam family: Bacterial small subunit ribosomal RNA
Source: RNAcentral
UGGGAGUAAAGCGCGUGUAGGCCCUCUGAUUAGUCCGAUGUGAAACCCCUGGGCUCAACCCAGGAAGUGCAUUGGAUCCUGUCAGACUUGAAUACGGGAGAGGGUAGUGGAAUUCCUAGUGUAGGAGUGAAAUCCGUAGAUAUUAGGAGGAACACCGGUGGCGAAGGCGGCUACCUGGACCGAUAUUGACGCUGAGACGCGAAAGCGUGGGUAGCAAACAGGAUUAGUAGGCCUGGUAGUCCACGCCCGUAAACUU